This 776-nucleotide ribosomal RNA is filed under the name uncultured bacterium. RNAcentral describes it as "bacterial SSU rRNA". It matches the Rfam family "Bacterial small subunit ribosomal RNA", at positions 9 to 774 of the family's 1533-position model. The record is from RNAcentral.
GGGUUUGAUCAUGGCUCAGAUUGAACGCUGGCGGCAGGCUUAACACAUGCAAGUCGAGCGGUAGCACAGGGGAGCUUGCUCCCCGGGUGACGAGCGGCGGACGGGUGAGUAAUGUCUGGGAAACUGCCUGAUGGAGGGGGAUAACUACUGGAAACGGUAGCUAAUACCGCAUAACGUCGCAAGACCAAAGAGGGGGACCUUCGGGCCUCUUGCCAUCAGAUGUGCCCAGAUGGGAUUAGCUAGUAGGUGGGGUAAUGGCUCACCUAGGCGACGAUCCCUAGCUGGUCUGAGAGGAUGACCAGCCACACUGGAACUGAGACACGGUCCAGACUCCUACGGGAGGCAGCAGUGGGGAAUAUUGCACAAUGGGCGCAAGCCUGAUGCAGCCAUGCCGCGUGUGUGAAGAAGGCCUUCGGGUUGUAAAGCACUUUCAGCGAGGAGGAAGGUGGUGAACUUAAUACGUUCAUCAAUUGACGUUACUCGCAGAAGAAGCACCGGCUAACUCCGUGCCAGCAGCCGCGGUAAUACGGAGGGUGCAAGCGUUAAUCGGAAUUACUGGGCGUAAAGCGCACGCAGGCGGUUUGUUAAGUCAGAUGUGAAAUCCCCGGGCUCAACCUGGGAACUGCAUUUGAAACUGGCAAGCUAGAGCCUCGUAGAGGGGGGUAGAAUUCCAGGUGUAGCGGUGAAAUGCGUAGAGAUCUGGAGGAAUACCGGUGGCGAAGGCGGCCCCCUGGACGAAGACUGACGCUCAGGUGCGAAAGCGUGGGGAGCAAACA